Molecule: long non-coding RNA, 771 nt
Filed under: Nicotiana benthamiana
Lineage: Eukaryota; Viridiplantae; Streptophyta; Magnoliopsida; Solanales; Solanaceae
Description: long non-coding RNA (NBEN_LNC042589)
Source: RNAcentral
AAUUUUUCAUGAGGGCAAAAUAGAAAAUACAAAUAAAAAAUAAAUAAAGGAAUGACAUAAAAUAAAUAAAGAGAGAUUAAAUAAAAAGAAAUUGGUUUGGUUACCAAAGCAAAGACCAGUCAAUAGUCAUAGUAAUCUUCUCUUUGCUUCAUCACCUAGAUCAUAUCGACAAGCUCAAGACCAAAGCAAAAGAUCAGUCACAAGUAUCUUCUCUUUCCUUCACCUCGCCUAAAAUGAAUAAGCUCAAUAAAUCAAUCAUUUUCUCACAGGUCUACCUCGGAACUCCGAAGCGAGGAAAUCUCAGAUAACGGACCGAGAUGUGUUUCCAGUUCUCUUUAACAGAAAUGGUGUUAAGAUUUAUGCAUCCCGUCGAACUUUAUAAGCUUUAUCUUCCAAAACACCCCAUAUUUUCUCUGAUUUCACCUUAUUUAAGCCUUCACCGUUUACUUCGUCAUGCUGUUCCUGGUGGAUCCAUUUUGGAGGUCGAUUUUUCUAAGUUUAGCUAGUUCCUCCUCUUUACUGUCUAUUCUUUUGCGAGAAAUUUUUUUGGGGUAGUCAUUAGAGAAUCUGUGUUUUGUAUUGAAAGAUAAAUAUAGCCCAAUAGUUGAGCUCGUGUGUAAUGUACUUUCUGCUAAUUGCUAUUACUUAAUAUAGCACUAUCCUUUUUGGUUGUAAAUUCUUGUGUAAUGAUGACGUUCCUCUAUGAUUGAGAUGAAAAUAGGAGAAGGGUGUUUAUAGUUAAGUAAUAAAGAUAAGUCAAAAGGUUUCGAA